GGAUGAACGCUGGCUACAGGCUUAACACAUGCAAGUCGAGGGGAAACGACGGGGAAGCUUGCUUCCCCGGGCGUCGACCGGCGCACGGGUGAGUAACGCGUAUCCAACCUGCCUCUGACUGAGGGAUAACCCGUCGAAAGUCGGCCUAAUACCUCAUGGCAUCGUCUGCGGGCAUCCAACGACGAUUAAAGAUUUCAUCGGUCAGGGAUGGGGAUGCGUCUGAUUAGCUAGUUGGCGGGGUAACGGCCCACCAAGGCGACGAUCAGUAGGGGUUCUGAGAGGAAGGUCCCCCACAUUGGAACUGAGACACGGUCCAAACUCCUACGGGAGGCAGCAGUGAGGAAUAUUGGUCAAUGGGCGAGAGCCUGAACCAGCCAAGUAGCGUGCAGGAUGACGGCCCUAUGGGUUGUAAACUGCUUUUCUGCGGGGAUAAAGUGAGGGACGUGUCCUUCAUUGCAGGUACCGCAUGAAUAAGGACCGGCUAAUUCCGUG
RNAcentral lists this ribosomal RNA (492 nucleotides) under uncultured bacterium. Its description in RNAcentral is "partial 16S ribosomal RNA". It matches the Rfam family "Bacterial small subunit ribosomal RNA", at positions 27 to 507 of the family's 1533-position model. The record is from RNAcentral.